Long non-coding RNA from Oreochromis aureus, 1236 nucleotides. The record is from Ensembl. NCBI's taxonomy places the organism in Eukaryota, Metazoa, Chordata, Actinopteri, Cichliformes, Cichlidae.
GGUAAAACUGAAUUCUCGAGAAUAAAGUAAAACGUUGAAGUAAUGAAUGAGUAACUUGGAAGUAAUGAGAAGCUUUGAAGCAAGGAUAAUGAAACUUUGAGAAACAGACAGUACUGAGUUAAAAGGUUAUAUGGUAUUUCAUGGUAAAGAAGAAAAAGAGACCAAUGCAUGUUUAGGAAUAGAGAAGAAUAUAAGAGUUAUUGGUCAGCUUAUGGUUUAAUAAGUGUCAAACUCACGGGAUUGGAGAAUCCUGUACUUCUUUGAGACUUCAAAGAGGAGCUCCGGCGUGGGCAUACGUCAGGUGGUGUUGCCGAGAGUUGUGGGCUCGGUGAAUAGCUAAUGAUCAAGAGGAUCAUUUUGGGAGACGCUCAUUUGCAAGUAAAAGGAUUAAGUUCGGACGAGGAAGUCCGACAGAAACACCUGGUGCUGUCAGGAUGUUUAAGUGACACAGAAGUUCAGAAAAUCGAGUCAGAAAUGGUUUUGUGGCUCUUGGUAAACUGAUUUUGAAGGAAAAUCAGUGUUUAUUGUGCUGAAGUAACAUAUCCGGCGUGGUCUGAGGAAAAGAAAUAAAUCGGUUAAUGGCUGAUAUAUUUAUAUGAAUUUUGGUGGAUCUGCUGAGGUCCAGAAAAUAACGAACGUUAAUAAAUGAUCCAGGAAGAAUUGCCCUGGGUCUGUGUCUGUGUGUGUGUGUUGUUCAGUGACAACAUGCACAGUUUAAAAUGGGCCCUGUUCCUUCCUCUUUUUAGUUUCAAAACACAAAGGCUGUUGGAUGAAGAAUUACUGUGUGAGGAACGGCUUCACUUUUGAUUAGGGAAAUAAUAUGCUUACUUUUGGGUUUAUGAAGAUCUCGUAACAAUCUGGGGGAGAUGCCGGGGUAAAAAGAGUGAGCUCGGACGAAGGGGUCCGAGAAAAGAACACCGUGAGUUGAGCAAGGUGUUUUAACUGACUCAGGAUUUCAGAGAAUCGAGUCAGCUGUGAUCUUGAGUUUUAAGGAGUCAGUGUGUCCCCUCCCCUCAUAGCACCCGUGCCCAGUUGGCCCCGUAUCAGGCGAAGCAUGGAAGGCUGGACAGCCCAUGACGGGUAAGAUCCCACCUCGAAACCCUGGGACAACCUAAGGCAAGGCGCAGUCACGAUUGCUUGAACCUAGGUCCCUAAGUGAGCUGGACUCACUGGAGGAGACGGGACUACAAGGGUAAAGCCGCUGGGGCAGAGGGGAAAACGUCAUUAACAAUGACG